CUUUGGCAGGGAGAGCCGAGGCAGACUGGCGCUUCAGUUCACAGCACGGUCUCUUGCUGCUUCUAAUGAGGCUUCGUUAACAGAGCCUAGCCCAAACCACACAGAGGAGAACCAAGACUCUCCUGUUAGCAGCCUCAGCUGAGCAUCUAGCCAACUGCCAGCCAUGUGAACACGUCAUUUGGGAUUCCGGCCCACUUGAGCCCCAGAUGACUGCAGAUCCAAGGGACAUCAUGUGGGGCAGAAGAACCACCUAGCUGAGGCCUGUUAAACCACAGACUCACGAAAGGGUUGGCUGUGUGACUGACAGAACACAGAAGUGAUGCAUGGUAUGUUACUCCCAAAAUUAGAUUACAGAAGACCUUGUAGCUCCUGUCUUGGUCACUCUCUUAGAUCACAUGUCAUGUUGUGACCAGUCUCAUUGAAAGAGCUCUACAUAAGUUGAUCAACUUGUCACUGGGUUGCCCAGGACUUUCCUGGUUUUAGACUGAAGGGAGGUGGGAGCUGUCUCAUCCUGAGAACUCCUCAGUCCUGGACAAACCGGGAUGAUAGGUCACCCUACAUCCAUAUGGUGAGGAACUCAGCCCACUGGACAACAGUGAGCAAGAAACUAAGGCCUCUUACCAACAGCUGCACGAGGGAGCCACCUUGGGAGCAACUCCUCCAGCCCCAGUCAAGCCUUGGGAUGACGGCAGCCCCAGCUGACAGCUUGACAGAAACCUCAUGAAGACCCUGAUCCAGAACCACCCAGGCUUAAGAAAUCACCACGGAAGAAGAAAAAUAUAUAUGUAUAUAGGUUACAGCAAGAGGGAAAAGUAAUACUUUUGGCAACUCUCUCCCAGUGGCUCAUAUAGCCUCUACUAUUUGUGCUAUAUGCCCAAAGUAUAAUCCGGAGAAGCCACUUCAUGAGUCACAAAGCCACUUUCCCUUCCUAAGGGACCCUUUGAGGUAUGACCAUUGGACUUUGUCCAAAUGCCACCAUCUCAAGGAUAAAUACAUCUUGUAAUGAUCUGUAUAUUCUCACAUUGUUUUGAGGCUUUUCCUUGCAGAAGAGUGAUGGCUUUAGAUAAAUUAUUAUUGAAAAGAAUAAAUUCCUGUUUGAGGAAUUCCUACCGAGUUACGUUGUGACUGGGAAACUCAUUUCACCGGAUAAAUAAUUGAAUCUAUUUGUAAUGUUUGGCAAAUAUUGCUGCAUUUCCACUGCACUUACCAUCCUCAAUCCUCAGGAUUCGUAGAAAGAACUAAUGGCACAACCAAAACUUAAUUGGCAAAGAUUUCAGAAGCAUUUACUCUCUCAUGGCCCAAAGCUCUUGUGCUAGCGCUCCUUAAUGUUAGAUCUACACAUUUUGUAAACAUCAGCUGUCUCCUUUUGAAAUAAUAAUAAAACAGCCUAUGCAAUUAGAUGAAGAAAUAUAUGAACCAAGCUUUGCUUAAGGGGUAUAUUAAAUUGUUGUCAUGGUCUUAUUGAGGUGCUUAAAGAAAUGAAAGAUUGGUAGCUGAUUCUUUCUCAGAGAGCUCCCAGAACUUAAGGAUCUUGGACUAUAACCUGGAGAGUUUAUUUAUUGAAAGAGACAUCAAAUAAGACUGUUUGCAGCCCUGUUGGAAGGGACCAUACCAGGAGGAGAAGAAGACGGCAUCUGUUGUAGACAGCUGUCCCAAGACUCCGGACCAGGCCUGUAUUCCUGACCUUAUAUCUCCUCAUUUAAACUUUUGUUAUGCUUAAACUGUAUACCUAUUUUAUAAUUUGUUUGGAAUACUAUCAUACUUAAAGAAAGGGAUUCAUUUGGAACAGACUGAUCUUGAAGGCCAGGAAUUUAUUGAGUGACUCCUAAUGGAACUCAAUGGUUAUGUGGAACAAAUCUUUGGCCUUGGCUACUGCCUGGAUGGCUAAAACACUACACCCUGAGUUUCCUUUAAAAGCAGAGAGGGAGUCAGGCUGAGUUAAAACCUGUUGCCAAUCUCCCUCUCUUUAAGGCCAGAUGGGCUCGUUCAGUGCUCCACUGGUAAGGCUAUAUUAGCAACUAUAUGUGCUUCUUCUUUGGGGCUAAAAGAUGUCGUUAUUACAUAUGGAAUCUCUGACUACAUUUACUCAAGAAGCCCUUAAUGAUAGUCAAGCAGGAAUACCCUUAUUUAAAUAGUGAAAUGUCUUUAAUGAGAAGGGCUGUCCUUCAAAACAGCAUGGCUUUAGAUAUUCUUACUGCAUCCCAAGGUGGUACAUAUACAAUCAUUCAGACUGAAUGCUGUGUUUUUAUAUGUGAUGAAUCUUCCAAUGUGUCAUCUCUGCUAAAGCACAUGAAGAAGCAAGUGGCUGCCUUAUGUGAAUCCUGCACCCCCUUUGAUUUGUUUGCUUGGCUCCCUUUUCAGUAUCAGUUCCCUUUUUCGAUCCGGAUUGCAAUUCCUAUUUCUAUUACUUAUUGGAAUCCUUGUACUGGUCAUAAUAUUCAAACUAAUUAUUGUUUUCUUUACUCGGUAUUGUAAGAGUAGCAUACAAACUAAAGUAAUGAUUGCUUGAUGGCUUAAAAUGGUCGAUCUAUCUUAUAAUCCUGGACAAAUUUCCUUUUCUGAUAAAGACUUUACCUAAGAACUCAUUUUAAACUAAUAUCUUCAAAAAUAUUGAAUUAUUAUUACUGUACUUGUUCUAUAAUCAUAUACAAUGUAAAUGCAAAAUGUCAUAGAGAAGCACAUAUACGUUUGUGAAACAAUCUAAAAUUAAUUAUAAAUUACAUGACAUAUGAAAUGCUUCCUCUGUUAAUACAUAUAUAUCCAUGCUUGUCCACUAUUUCCCACCAACGUGGAUGACUAAGCAAAUAAUGAGAUAAAAGCCUAGCACCGAGGGACAUGGUGGACCCAGGGCAGGCAGCAACCACCCUGGCACCGAGGGACAAUAUUUUGAUCAUCAAUGCUUUCUAUCGAAAGAUUAGAGAUCAAAAGGGGAAAAUGACAAAUAAAAAUGGCAAGCAAUAGUAUAUAUUGGAGAAUAUGAGGAAGCCAUUUGGUGUAAACCUAAUUCGGCCUGACCUUGUCUUUCCAAAAGUGGCUGACCGUGACUGUUGAGCAUGCAUUGUAUGUCUGCUUUAGAGAUUCCCUAUGGCAAGAACAAAGGCCCUUGAGAUAAAGGUGCAACUUCCCUCCCCCUCCCAACGUUGGCAUUCCCUUAAGGAUUAAGCAUCUUUCCUCAGGCUAGGAACUGAUUGCUGUGCUCACCUAUGACCACCCAGCUCGAGACAAUAGGCUUGCCUCCUGCUACGCCCUCUGAGAGAGCAGACCCACUGCCUGCUGUGUCCAUCAAGCGCUGUGCCAAUAGGGCAAUCUUGUGACUAUUGUAGGAGGGACAUUUCAAUCAUAUGUGAAACAUCCUGUAUGGGGGUGUAUGACCACUCUGUAUACCUCACUUCUUUGGUGACCUUUCUCCCUUUAGGAAGCAAGGCCCUUGGCCAUGGUCCUCAGAUUUCAG
Equus caballus (horse) is the source of this 3451-nucleotide long non-coding RNA. The record is from Ensembl. Lineage: Eukaryota; Metazoa; Chordata; Mammalia; Perissodactyla; Equidae.